RNAcentral lists this ribosomal RNA (300 nucleotides) under uncultured bacterium. RNAcentral describes it as "bacterial SSU rRNA". It matches the Rfam family "Bacterial small subunit ribosomal RNA", at positions 115 to 417 of the family's 1533-position model. The record is from RNAcentral.
GCGUGGGUAUCUGCCUUGUGGUAGGGAACAACCCAGGGAAACUUGGGCUAAUACCUUAUGAGCCCCUUAAUGCCUUGGUAUUUGGGGUAAAGAUUUAUCGCCAUGAGAGGAGCCCGCGUCGGAUUAGCUAGUUGGUGGGGUGAAGGCCUACCAAGGCGUCGAUCCGUAGCUGAUCUGAGAGGAUGAUCAGCCACACUGGGACUGAGACACGGCCCAGACUCCUACGGGAGGCAGCAGUGGGGAAUAUUGCACAAUGGGCGAAAGCCUGAUGCAGCCAUGCCGCGUGUGUGAAGAAGGCCU